This is a long non-coding RNA of Mastomys coucha (southern multimammate mouse), 3198 nucleotides long. RefSeq lists it as uncharacterized. The record is from RefSeq and is a predicted model, not a curated record. The transcript is spliced from 2 exons. NCBI's taxonomy places the organism in Eukaryota, Metazoa, Chordata, Mammalia, Rodentia, Muridae.
GACGUGGGGUGGGGUGGGGUAGGGUGGGGUGGGCGCCCGCGCGGGGCUCGGAGCCGCCGCCCGACGUGGCUUGGCUCGGCUCGGCUCGGCUCGGCUCGGCUCGCGCCCCAGCUGCUGCGCUGGCACCUGCAGGACUGCGGAGAAUACAAGUUUUAUGCUGGAAGUCGGGCGCUUUCUCCAAAUAAUACAGCUCGUUAAGGGAAAGCAGCCAACUUCAGUAAGGGUCUUAAAGGCGUCUUCUGCCCACAGCGAGCUAGUGAAAGUAGCAAUUAAGGGGCGGGUCGCUAAAUUCUUGAGUACUCAGGUGCACUCCUGUUAACCUCUACCACACUCAGCUUUCCUUGAAAAGGACUUGUGUUUCAGAGUAGAAGUUGUCAUCUGAUCUUAGUUCUUAGAGACAGUUCAUUUCUACAAUAAUGGCCGUCAGUAACUGCACACUUAAAGAGUGUACAAGAGAGCAGGAGAUUUUAGAAAGGAUUUAAAAUAAGAGCCUCCUCGUCUUUCCUGUUAAAAAAAUUAAUGAGGACGAUAAUUUGCAAUACUUAUUUUACUCCCUUGCCAAAUGGUUACAGCAAUGGGUGUGUCCAGGAGGCAAGGUGACAUCUUAAACAGUAGUUGGGGAUCCCUGCCAACUGAAACCUCCAGCCUGCUUGGGUGUGGGGAGAGUUCACCUUGGGGAGAGCUAGCAUUCAUUUAACUUUGGUGAAUUUUUUGUGUUUUGAUAUGUAUUUUUUAACCAAUGAAUUUUAAUAUGCUGACUGAAUUUGUUCUUUGUAAGGGGGAACAGGAUAUAAAUUAUAGGCAUGUAGUUGACACUCCAAGUUGUGUAGUAACAUAUUUUUUUAGUUUAGCAGGAUAGGAUUUAAUUUUUUACUGGAAAAUUAGAAUUUAUAUCUUACAGUGGUUCUUGUCCCCAGUAAGUUUUUAUAGUUAAAUGUAUCAUUGAUAGAUACAUCGACAACUAUGCUAGUAACUUCAUAAGACUUUAGUUUGUGAGGACUCUGUUAAAGAGAAAAUAUCCUUUAGACACCUAUGUAUAUAGAAUUUUGCAUGCAGUCACUAUAUUUUUAUUGGGAAGUCAUGUAUUGGAAGGAAUGUGUGCUGUUGACUACUGGUGACACAAGAUGUAAAGAGUAGAAAAUGUCUUGAGUGUGUUUAAGUCAGUCUAUGAACCUGAAGGUUUUUAUUAGGCUCAAAAAUAAGAAUUUUCUUUGGCUCCAUUAUAAUGUAGAAACUUGUAGCUUAAGCUAGAGUGUGGGCUUUCAGUCAGGGUCCUGAUUUCUGCGAAGUUUUGUUCCUCUACUUGUUUCUCUUUUGACUCAAGGAUUUUAGAAUCAGGUGCCAUUCUGUCAGAAUAAAGAACCCCCUUUUUCCUACAGAAAUAACUUAGAUUGGUUUUGAUGCACAUAAAAUAAUUGCUAUAGUUGUAGAAGAAAUGAUCGAGGAAGCCUUGGUGUGGACAGGAUGAAGAUGUGUUUGUGUUCACUGAAGCCAUGGAGACAUACAUUUAUUCAGUUACGCUAGAUUUAAAAAAAAAAAAAAAACAGCCAUUUUGAGUGCUAUUUAGAAAAUGCUUUAAAUGUUCGUAAUGCAUUCAGUUCAGCUGACUUUGUAAUACAGGUUAUAGUUUCUAGAUAGAGAUCAACCGUAGUAACCCAAAAUGCAGGAUCUAGUUUAAUAGGUUGGAAUUGAACCUGAAAGUACGCUGGAAAUCUCUGGAAUGACAAGAACAACAGGAAGGAUUACACCAAUCCUUGCAGAAUGGAGAGAGUUAAGAACUAGUCAUCUCUCUGGUGAAUUAGUCUUCCUCUUAUUGUGAUAAACACAUGCUAAUGAGCUUGUAUUUUCCCAAAAGUAUAAUUUUGGUUCUAAGAAAAUGGCACUCUUCAUAGACAGAAGAAGUAGUUGGACAUAUGGAGUGCCAAGAAGUCUUUGCUGUUGAUUUUUAGGAGUUUUUAUUCUAGAACUUAUUGAUAGUUUAUUUUCAAACCUUAAACUCGGAGCUGGAGAGCUGGCUUAGGGGUUAGGAGCACUGAUGCUCUUCUUGAGGACCUGGGUUAAAUUCUCAGCACCCACAUGGUGGCUCACAACUAUCUGUAACUCCAGUUCCAGGGGGUCCUAACACAGACAUGCAUGUAGGCAGAAUACCUAAAAUAAAAUUUUAGAUGCACAUAAAAUAGAGUUUAGAAAAACUCCUUAAACUCAAGAAAGAACUUUUCUUCGUGAAGCCUUGGAAGCAAAGUUGAAAGGUUUUCUAGUUAUCUGGCAAACUAGUUUCUGUGUGCCUGGUUCAUCCCUUGAGGGUGAUUUUUUUAUGCAGUAUUCUAAAAUUUAUUGUUAAUGUCUUGUUUCCCUGAGACCUUAUACACCUACCUAUAGUCUGACACCUCUACCAUUCUUUGACCCAGCCCUAUUGAAACUAAAAUCUGUGUAGUCAGUGGCCGAUUUCCUGCUCUAAUUCAUAACAUGCAUUCCUUCCGAUUUCCACACUACAGUACCUGCCACACAUUUAAGCUUGGCAUCUUUUUAGGCUUAAAGUAAUUUUGGUUGGUGCUGCUCAUUGCCUUUUGUUUUUGCAAGUAAAUUUUCUUUGCUUAGAUUUAAUGUGAAGCAUGGUGAGCUGUAAAAGGCUUUGUAUUGCCAUACGUUUUUACCUUCUGUAUGGGAAAUUGACUGUUUAGUUAAUUUGUAUACAUUGAUAGCUAAGCAUUAGCUAAAAAUGGUUGGUGUUGUAGAUGAAAUUACCUAUGAGAGGUUGAGUAUUAUGUCCCAGGUUGCACAGCUUAUGAAACCAGGGUGUUGAAAGAUUGAUAUUUAGAGAAGUAGUAAAACCACCGGACAAAGCUGGCAUUUCACUUUUAAGUCUACUACUUUCUUUCCCCCUUUUUUCUCCCCUUAGUAGUAGGAAUUGGACUCAGGACUUAACAUGGUUGACAAACACCAUAUAGAGGACCCUACAUCCCUAGCUCUAACCUUAUUUUCUUUUGUUUUAAAGAGAAAUUAAUUUAUAUUGUAAUUAAAUUGGAUGUUGCUUUUUAAAUUAAGAUCUUGCUGUGUUGACCAUAUUGGCCUCCACCUAAUGACCAUACUGCCGUGGGUCAAAUCAAAUUGUUGAGGAGGAAAAUUAUCUUUUGGGUUCCUCUUCAAAUCCUUAUGCUGUGCCCUAGAGAAAUCCAUGAGGCCAUUUCUAUAAAGGUA